GGGGGGGGGGGGGGGGGGGGCUGGGGGGGGGGGGUGGGGCGGGGGAGGGGGGGUGGGGCGUGGAUGCAGCGGCGGACGGGGGAGUAAUGCCUAGGGAGCGGCCUGGUAGUGGGGGAUAACGUCCGGAGACGGGCGCUAAUACCGCAGACGUCCUGAGGGAGAAAGUGGGGGAUCUUCGGACCUCACGCUAUCAGAUGAGCCUAGGUCGGAUUAGCUAGUUGGUGGGGUAAAGGCCUACCAAGGCGACGAUCCGUAACUGGUCUGAGAGGAUGAUCAGUCACACUGGAACUGAGACACGGUCCAGACUCCUACGGGAGGCAGCAGUGGGGAAUAUUGGACAAUGGGCGAAAGCCUGAUCCAGCCAUGCCGCGUGUGUGAAGAAGGUCUUCGGAUUGUAAAGCACUUUAAGUUGGGAGGAAGGGCAGUAAGUUAAUACCUUGCUGUUUUGACGUUACCAACAGAAUAAGCACCGGCUAACUUCGUG
Molecule: ribosomal RNA, 484 nt
Filed under: uncultured bacterium
Lineage: Bacteria
Description: partial 16S ribosomal RNA
Rfam family: Bacterial small subunit ribosomal RNA (bases 53-484)
Source: RNAcentral